UCAUGACCUGAGCUGAAGGCAGAGGCUUAACCCACUGAGCCACCCAGACACCCGUUCUGUGAUUUUCUAUCUAAAACUUUCACCAGACCCUCACGUUGUCUUCAGAGUCGCUGAAUUUGGGAAUCGGGCAGACGGGAAGGCAGGCUGGUAUUUGGUUCGGAGUCAGGGCCGUGAAGCGGAGGGUGCUGGGAGCGGCCUCCCCAGCGCAGCGAGGGUCACACCCGGCACAGAGUGCGUUCCACCCUUCGGUCUGGCUCUGGCCUUUCCCGGGGGCUUAGGUGGCCCCCGGAAGGCGGUCCGGCCCGGAGCCUGUGGGGCUGUGAGUGAUCCUGCAUCGGCUCGCGCUGUCCCCACCCUUUCCAGGAUGACCGUGUGGCUCCGAGGGAGGACGGGGCUCUGCGUUCAUCGCGCCGCGUCGGCGGGUUCCUCAGACGUGGCCGUGGUCUGCGCUGCCGCGAGCAGGAGAACGUAUCUGUGUGUUUGCGGAGAUCGUAAUUACGGUUGCUGUUCCGAGUAACUUCCAGAUGAAGGCAGUUCUUUCGUCAGGACUGCUGUUGAGCGUGAGGUGUUGAGUGGGUGUCCCACAGGAACAACAAACAGAAAAACGAGGGGAAAGCAGUAUCUGCGUCCCCUGACACACGGCGGCUUUGCCGUUAGUAACCGGCAUUUAGUGCUCUGCGUUUGGGGCCUGUCAUCAGGGUGAUGCACGCGUGGGGAGGUAGGCUCCAUCCCCACCACCGGCCGGUGUCCGAGGCCAGCAAACAGGAGGAAGGAGGGAUCCUGGGACCUGUCCCUGGGCCAGCAGGCCCAGCUUUCAGCGUCUGGCCAUCCGCCACCACCGACCGUGCCGACCUCCGGCUUGGAUCUGGAGUUCCCUCUCGUGCGUCCUCGCUCUGACUUCUUCCCACCUGGUGCUGUCCUCGUGGCGUGGCUGGAAGCGGGGAGGCUCCUGGGACUGCGGCUGCUGUCCUUCUCGGGAACGCUGCGGUGGGUCCUUGAAGUGCCAGGCCACCGGGGACGUGGUUUGUCCCGAAAGCCCCAGGCCGUCCUCCCGGGCCCCAUUCUGCCACUGUGUGUUGUGAAGUGGGACGUGUCCGAGGCUUUGACCCCGUCUCCGUGGGUGUGCGACCCAGGGUUUCCAUGACGGCCGCGGCCAGUGUCUGACUCUGGCUCCCCCGAGCCAGUGGGUGUGGAGGUAGUCCUGGUGACGCAGAGCCGGAUCCAAAUGCUCUAGUCUCUCUUGGAGGAGAAUGUGUAUCUCAGGAGUGGUUUUUAAGUGGCCAAGAACUUCACAUUAAAAUCAGUGGGAUGAAGGCAGUGGGGACCUCUGUGAUUCCGGGUACACUGAGAGUUCCUGGCAGUGCUGGGACUUUCCAUGUGGCCCGAGAGUUCUAGUCUUCACGGUGGCUGCACGUGGGGUUUCCUCGUUCUUGCAGCAAGUGUUUAUUGAGUGCUUGCUGUAUGCCUGGCCCCAUGCUGGCUGUGGGACUAUACCUCUGGGCUCUGAGCUGGGGUGGGAGAAGCCAGCUGGAUAAGCCUGGUGUGAGCCUCGUGGGGACAGGAACUGGCCACCGCUGACCCAGAGAUGGGGGCCCCUUCAGCACCCACACUGGAGCCCCGUCCCUGGGGGCGCCCCCCUUGCCAGGAGCCCUCUGGCCGGCGCAGUAAAGACAGCGGCGAGCCGUUUCCACGGUGCCGCUUUACAGCUCGCGUGCUGAGCAGAAAGGUCGCUGCUCGUCUUAGAGUGUAUUUGAAGGGGCGCACAUCUGGAAAUUUAAUUCCAAACCUAAACCACUUAAGAAGUAAGCCAAAAAAAAAAAAAAAAGGAAAGAAAGAAAGAAAAGAAAGACGC
This is a long non-coding RNA of Mustela erminea (ermine), 1852 nucleotides long. RefSeq lists it as uncharacterized. The record is from RefSeq and is a predicted model, not a curated record. The transcript has 2 exons. Lineage: Eukaryota; Metazoa; Chordata; Mammalia; Carnivora; Mustelidae.